RNAcentral lists this ribosomal RNA (253 nucleotides) under uncultured bacterium. RNAcentral's name for it is "partial 16S ribosomal RNA". It matches the Rfam family "Bacterial small subunit ribosomal RNA", at positions 524 to 776 of the family's 1533-position model. The record is from RNAcentral.
UACAGAGACUGCAAGCGUUAUUCGGAUUCACUGGGCGUAAAGGGUGCGCAGGUGGCCAAGUGUGUUAGGCGUGAAAGCCCGGGGCUUAACCCCGGAAUUGCACCUAAAACUACAUGGCUAGAGCAUUGGAGAGGGGAGCAGAAUUCACGGUGUAGCAGUGAAGUGCGUAGAUAUCGUGAGGAAUACCAGAGGCGAAGGCGGCUCCCUGGACAAUUGCUGACACUCAGGCACGAAAGCGUGGGGAGCAAAAGGG